UUUGCAUAUCCAAAAAGCGGAGGAAAAGAAACCAACAGGGAUUGCCUCAGUAACGGCGAGUGAAGCGGCAACAGCUCAAAUUUGAAAUCUGGCCUCUCGGGGUCCGAGUUGUAAUUUGUAGAGGAUGUUUUGGGUACCGCCCCGGUUUAAAUUUCUUGGAACAGAAUGUCAGAGAGGGUGAGAAUCCCGUCUUGGACCGGUGGUAGGGCCUGUGUAAAACUCCUUCGACGAGUCGAGUUGUUUGGGAAUGCAGCUCAAAAUGGGUGGUAAAUUUCAUCUAAAGCUAAAUAUUGGCCAGAGACCGAUAGCGCACAAGUAGAGUGAUCGAAAGAUGAAAAGAACUUUGAAAAGAGAGUUAAACAGUAUGUGAAAUUGUUGAAAGGGAAGCGCUUGCAACCAGACUUGAGCGCGACGGUUCCCCUAGCCUUUUGGCUAGGUUACUCCGUCGUGUCCAGGCCAACAUCGGUUCUGAGGGUCGGUCAAAGGCCCCGGGAAUGUACCUACCCACGGGUAGACUUAUAGACCGGGGUGUCAUGCGGCCUCUCGGGACCGAGGAACGCGCUUCGGCUCGGAUGUUGGCGUAAUGGUUGUCAGCGACCCGUCUUGACCAAACGGACCAAA
Molecule: ribosomal RNA, 621 nt
Filed under: Phialophora verrucosa
Lineage: Eukaryota; Fungi; Ascomycota; Eurotiomycetes; Chaetothyriales; Herpotrichiellaceae
Description: LSU rRNA
Rfam family: Eukaryotic large subunit ribosomal RNA
Source: RNAcentral